Molecule: ribosomal RNA, 229 nt
Filed under: uncultured bacterium
Lineage: Bacteria
Description: partial 16S ribosomal RNA
Rfam family: Bacterial small subunit ribosomal RNA
Source: RNAcentral
UCCGUAGGCGGGUAAUUAAGUCAGAGGUGAAAUCCCACAGCUUAACUGUGGAACUGCCUUAGAUACUGGUUAUCUUGAGUUUUAGUGAAGUAGAUAGAAUGUGUAGUGUAGCGGUGAAAUGCAUGGAUAUUACACAGAAUACCGAUUGCGAAGGCAGUCUACUAACUAACAACUGACGCUAAUGGACGAAAGCGUGGGGAGCGAACAGGAUUAGAUACCCUGGUAGUCC